AAAUUCUCCUACUAAUUAUAAACUGCUACAAGCAAAACAGUAUGUAAUUAAGAGUCCGAAUUUUAGAAAGAGAAUAAUGCAACAAAAGGCAUCUUCACACAGAGAAAAUCAAACAAGGUGAAAGCGAAUGAACCAUGCAAAAUUUCAGGUCUGCCCUAAAAAUCUUGUAAUUUAGACGAAAAGAGUGAAAUAACUACAAACAAGCCAAACAGCAAUUGAAAGAUUAAAACUUGAAAAGAAAAACAUAUCCAAUACUCCACUUCUAACACAUGCAAGUAGCAAAAUUAGUGUAAAUUUUCUAAGAAAUUCCACAACCAACAAAAUGCACAGGCAACAACACAUAGAUUGAUAAAGAAAAUCCGGCUACUACUAAACUAUUGCAAGAACAAACUUGUUACGAUACUUUUUUUUUUAAAAAAAAAUUAUCAACUGAAGAGAUACGUGCCGCAAUUAAUUCAGAAAUAAAAUCUAACUCACCUCAAAAGCCAUAGUAACCAGACCCUCUAUCUGAAAUCUGUGACAAACAGUAUCAAAUAAAAGAAAAUCAGCACUAAAACAUUCGUCAAAAAAGAUGAACCAUAAAAACAUGAAAAACAUGCCAUUAUUAGUAUGCGAAUACCAUGAAAUGUUCUGACCAGCGAAUAGAAGAUUGUAAAAUACAUGUUAUGUAUGUUAAAAUUCUGGCACCAUAAAUAAAAUUGUAAAGUACAUGUUUGCAAGUACACAGAGCACCAUCUCCUCAAGCAAGAAAGAAGGUACGUCCAAGAUUUUCUGGAACAUCAUGUUACAAGAACUUGUCUAAUAGAUUCAUGUGGAUUUUCUUUAUAAGUUGUGAUUCUGCAAAUUUGAAAGAACAUGCACCAUAUUUCAACUGACCCUAUAGAAUGUGAAAACCUAUAAUCUUUUAUAGGAUCUUUACUGCACUUUCUUGUGUUAUUAUUCAUUUCCAAAUUGUUGUUGUCCAUUGAUUCUUUUCCUCAACUAGUACUCUUAUGCACCCAAAACAUUCAUUUUACUCUUUUUGUCAAAACUAAUCCAUGAUGCACAUUCUAAAUAUACAUAUCAAAAGUAUAGAACUCAUACAUUUUACAUUGUAAACAACUGUGAACAUGUAGUACAACCACAUGUUAACAACAACUUCACACCAAAAUUGAUACCAUUGCAUGAUGAAAUAUCAUAAAUUACGAGAUGCCUGUAAAUUAAAAAAACAGAAUUCAGUAGAUAAAUAUAGGCAUUUCCAUAUCUCAACAACAAGACAACUAAAUCCAUUACAAAAUAUAAACAAAAAGAAAAGGAAAAGAAAGGCAAAACUUAGAAAAACAUUACAGAAAAAUUACCAAAAAAAAAAAUCAAAUUUGUCCAUGUAAAAAAAAGAACUAUAUAGAAUUGAUUUGGGCAUUCCAUAUAUCAACUGCAAGAGUCCGAAAUCCAUUAAAAUGAUAAAAAUAAGAAAAGAAUAAAUGCAGGAACUUAGAAAUAUUACAGUAAAGUUACCCAAAAAAAUUGAUAUUAUUCUUGAAAAAAUACAGAACUCAUAUGGGCACUUCCACAUCUCAACCGCAAGAGUCCCAAAUCCAUCAAACAUAUCAAAAAAUAAGACAAGAAAAUAUUAAAAAAACCAUGAAAAGAACGAAUGAAAUUGAAAAGGGGAACAUAACUGGCCUGGUUGAAAUCAUAUGAAUGAUGCAGCGACAGUAAUUUUUGACGUUUUUUCAAAGAAACUCAAAUUUUAAGUAAGAUUGAAAACCCUAAAGAAUCCUAGAAGAAGAUUACAAAGCUUUCUACAACCUUUUCUUUUUAGGGAUUUUGGAGACACAAAAACAAAACUCCUGAGAAAUUAAAUUACGAUAUAAACUGUAAUGAAAUGCAGGAGUUAGACUAAAAUAGAAGUUACGUGCUAGGAAGAAGGAAGGUAGAAGGCGUGGAAUCUAGUAACUGAAGGCGUGAUCAAAAGGAAGCACUUCGGCAAAGGCGCGUAAGCUAAACCACGCCUUUGCUGGGUUUCAUCUGUUCUAACAGAAAGCCAAGAAGCGCGGCAACUUGCAGCAACUUGCAGCUGCAAUUGGGACACGUGUUUGAACCUUAUUUGGUACUGUUAGAAAUCUGUUAGAAGCUAAUAACUAUAUAAGCAGGCCUGUCUGCUUAGUCGAGUAGGCUUUUGAAUCAUUUCUGUCCAGAUUAGUUGUAAUAGCUUGAGGAGCAAUCCUCAUACUUUCCCUCCCAAAUUUUCCUUCAGAUCUUACACCUUCUUAGCUAAAUUCAUUACCUCUAUUCUUGUAAUUUGUUUCCGAUUCAUUAAUGAAUUUGAGCUCAAUUCAAUUACUGUUCCAUUGAUCAACUGCUGAACAUUGCAGUCAAGUUUGUUUCCUUUUACAUUUUCUGCCCUUUGGCUUCUGUACCAUAACAUAAACACAAUUUUAUCUAAAUAAAAAACAAGUACUACAGUUACCUGAUUAUCCAAAUUAGUGACUCUUCUUCCCCUGUUCUACCCUCGCACUUAAAAGCACAGAGAUUCUCUCCUUCUCCGUGUGAUCAAGAGUAUGUAGAGAAUGGGAAAAAAAUUUGAGACGAAAUUUUUAUUCUCAAAAAACAAUAUCAAAAUUUGAAAGUAAAAAAUUCCGCCCAAAUUUUUUUGAAUAAAAUUAACCCAAAAAAUGUGAGGAAUUAAAAGCUGAAGGAGGACGAUAAGGCAGAAAGCGUGUACUAUUGUGCAUGUUUUUCUAGAUGUUUUUGUGUGCCGAAAUGGGAAAG
Molecule: long non-coding RNA, 2751 nt
Filed under: Coffea arabica (coffee)
Lineage: Eukaryota; Viridiplantae; Streptophyta; Magnoliopsida; Gentianales; Rubiaceae
Description: long non-coding RNA (CARA_LNC006838)
Source: RNAcentral